RNAcentral lists this ribosomal RNA (1217 nucleotides) under uncultured Rhizaria. RNAcentral describes it as "SSU rRNA". It matches the Rfam family "Eukaryotic small subunit ribosomal RNA", at positions 577 to 1805 of the family's 1831-position model. The record is from RNAcentral.
CGGUAAUUCCAGUUCCAAUAGCGUAUACUAAAGUUAUUGCAGUUAAAAAGCUCGUAGUUGGAUUUCUGCGGGGACGGAGCGGCCGGACGCAACUUGCGUCUCGAGCUAGCGCUUUCCCCGCAUCCUGCCGCGAACCGUGCUACCAUUAGUUUGGUGGCGCUGGGGAUCGGCUCGAUUACUUUGAGAAAAAUAGAGUGUUCAAAGCAGGCCACACGCCUUGAAUAAGUUAGCAUGGAAUAAUGACUAAGGACUUUGGUUCUUUUCGUUGGUGUUCGGGACUGAAGUAAUGAUUGAUAGGGACAGUUGGGGCGGUCCGUAUUCCAAAGCGAGAGGUGAAAUUCUUAGACCCUCGGAAGACGAACAGCUGCGAAAGCGUUCCGCAAGGAUGUUCCCUUUGAUCAAGAACGAAAGUUGGGGGAUCGGAGACGAUCAGAUACCGUCGUAGUCUCAACUAUAAACUAUACCAGCUAGGGAUCGGCCAACGUUUAAUUAUUCGACUUGGUCGGCACCUUAUGAGAAAUCAAAGCAUCUGGGUUCCGGGGGGAGUAUGGUCGCAAGGCUGAAACUUAAAGGAAUUGACGGAAGGGCACCACCAGGCGUGGAGCCUGUGGCUUAAUUUGACUCAACACGGGAAAACUUACCAGGUCCAGACAUAGGAAGGAUUGACAGAUUGAUAGCUCUUUCUUGAUUCUGUGGGUGGUGGUGCAUGGCCGUUUUUAGUCGGUGAAGUGAUUUGUCUGCUUAAUUGCGUUAACGGACGAGACCCCAGCCUGCUAAAUAGCGCGGCCGAGCUUUGCUCGGUACGAGCUUCUUAGAGGGACCAUGAUGCGCGAUAGCACAAGGAAGUUUGGGGCAACAACAGGUCUGUGAUGCCCUUAGAUGUUCUGGGCCGCACACGGGCUACACUGGCGCCUGCAACGAGCAUAUCAGCUAGCCCGAGAGGGUCUUGGCUAAUCUUUGGAACCGGCGCCGUGCUUGGGAUUGACCAUUGCAAUUGUUGGUCAUGCAACGAGGAAUGCCUUGUAAACGCGAGUCAUCAGCUCGCAUUGAGUACGUCCCUGCCCUUUGUACACACCGCCCGUCGCUCCUACCGAUGAAUGUUCCGAUGAAAUUUUCGGAGAGCGCCGGAGAACGGGGCUCUGCCCUGCAGAACUGGAGGCUCAAAGUCACUUAAAUCUGAACAUUUCGAGGAAGGAGAAGUCGUAACAAGGUAGCCG